CUUACCNNUAAGCNUCCCCUGGGAGUACGCCCGCANGUUNAACNCAAAGGAUUGACGGGGGCCCNCCCAGCNGUGGAGCNUUUGUUUAAUUCGAAGCAGCGCGAAGANCCUNCCAGGUUUGACAUCCCUCUGACCGCUCUAGAGAUAGAGCUUUNCUUCGGGACAGAGGUGACAGGUGGUGCAUGGUUGUCGUCAGCUCGUGUCGUGAGAUGUUGGGUUAAGUCCCGCAACGAGCGCAACCCCUAUUGUUAGUUGCCAUCAUUCAGUUGGGCACUCUAGCGAGACUGCCGGUAAUAAACCGGAGGAAGGUGGGGAUGACGUCAAAUCAUCAUGCCCCUUAUGACCUGGGCUACACACGUGCUACAAUGGCUGGUACAACGAGUCGCAAGCCGGUGACGGCAAGCUAAUCUCUUAAAGCCAGUCUCAGUUCGGAUUGUAGGCUGCAACUCGCCUACAUGAAGUCGGAAUCGCUAGUAAUCGCGGAUCAGCACGCCGCGGUGAAUACGUUCCCGGGCCUUGUACACACCGCCCGUCACACCACGAGAGUUUGUAACACCCGAAGUCGGUGAGGUAACCGUAAGGAGCCAGCCNCCUAAGGUGGGAUAGAUGAUUGGGGUGAAGUCGUAACAANGUANCCA
RNAcentral lists this ribosomal RNA (638 nucleotides) under uncultured bacterium. RNAcentral's name for it is "partial 16S ribosomal RNA". It matches the Rfam family "Bacterial small subunit ribosomal RNA", at positions 853 to 1502 of the family's 1533-position model. The record is from RNAcentral.